AAAAAGUUCAUUCGGGUUUUU
RNAcentral lists this microRNA (21 nucleotides) under Capra hircus (goat). RNAcentral describes it as "miR-2282n". The record is from RNAcentral. Lineage: Eukaryota; Metazoa; Chordata; Mammalia; Artiodactyla; Bovidae.